This 449-nucleotide ribosomal RNA is filed under the name uncultured bacterium. RNAcentral describes it as "bacterial SSU rRNA". It matches the Rfam family "Bacterial small subunit ribosomal RNA", at positions 354 to 796 of the family's 1533-position model. The record is from RNAcentral.
GUGGGGAAUCUUCCGCAAUGGGCGAAAGCCUGACGGAGCAACGCCGCGUGAGUGAAGAAGGUUUUCGGAUCGUAAAGCUCUGUUGUCAGGGACGAGAGAGUCUGUCAGGAAAUGGGCAGGCUAGGACGGUACCUGGCGAGAAAGCCACGGCUAACUACGUGCCAGCAGCCGCGGUAAUACGUAGGUGGCGAGCGUUGUCCGGAAUUAUUGGGCGUAAAGGGAGCGCAGGUGGGAAAGUAAGUCAGUCUUAAAAGUGCGGGGCUCAACCCCGUGAGGGGAUUGAAACUACUUUUCUUGAGUGCAGGAGAGGAAAGCGGAAUUCCUAGUGUAGCGGUGAAAUGCGUAGAUAUUAGGAGGAACACCAGUGGCGAAGGCGGCUUUCUGGACUGUAACUGACACUGAGGCUCGAAAGCGUGGGGAGCGAACAGGAUUAGAAACCCUAGUAGUCC